AGCAGCCGCGGUAAUUCCAGCUCCAAUAGCGUAUAUUAAAGUUGUUGCAGUUAAAAAGCUCGUAGUUGAAUUUCGGGGUCAGUAGGCUGGUCGUGCCACAGGUACGUACUGGUCUCACUGAUUCCUCCUUCCUGAUGAACCGUAAUGCCAUUAAUUUGGUGUUGCGGGGAAACUGGACUGUUACUUUGAAAAAUUGGAGUGUUUAAAGCAGGCUAACGCUUGAAUACAUUAGCAUGGAAUAAUGAAAUAGGACGUUCGAUCCUAUUUUGUUGGUUUCUAGGAUUGACGUAAUGAUUAAUAGGGAUAGUUGGGGGCAUUAGUAUUCAAUUGUCAGAGGUGAAAUUCUUGGAUUUAUUGAAGACUAACUACUGCGAAAGCAUUUGCCAAGGAUGUUUUCAUUAAUCAAGAACGAAAGUUAGGGGAUCGAAGACGAUCAGAUACCGUCGUAGUCUUAACCAUAAACUAUGCCGACUAGGAAUCGGAUGAUGUUAAUUUUUAAUGACUCA
This 506-nucleotide ribosomal RNA is filed under the name uncultured Glomeraceae. RNAcentral describes it as "SSU rRNA". It matches the Rfam family "Eukaryotic small subunit ribosomal RNA", at positions 569 to 1078 of the family's 1831-position model. The record is from RNAcentral. Lineage: Eukaryota; Fungi; Glomeromycota; Glomeromycetes; Glomerales; Glomeraceae.